GAUGAACGCUGGCGGCGUGCCUAAUACAUGCAAGUCGAGCGAACGGACGAGAAGCUUGCUUCUCUGAUGUUAGCGGCGGACGGGUGAGUAACACGUGGAUAACCUACCUAUAAGACUGGGAUAACUUCGGGAAACCGGAGCUAAUACCGGAUAAUAUUUUGAACCGCAUGGUUCAAAAGUGAAAGAAGGUCUUGCUGUCACUUAUAGAUGGAUCCGCGCUGCAUUAGCUAGUUGGUAAGGUAACGGCUUACCAAGGCAACGAUGCAUAGCCGACCUGAGAGGGUGAUCGGCCACACUGGAACUGAGACGCGGUCCAGACUCCUACGGGAGGCAGCAGUAGGGAAUCUUCCGCAAUGGGCGAAAGCCUGACGGAGCAACGCCGCGUGAGUGAUGAAGGUCUUCGGAUCGUAAAACUCUGUUAUUAGGGAAGAACAUAUGUGUAAGUAACUGUGCACAUCUUGACGGUACCUAAUCAGAAAGCCACGGCUAACUACGUG
Molecule: ribosomal RNA, 497 nt
Filed under: uncultured bacterium
Lineage: Bacteria
Description: partial 16S ribosomal RNA
Rfam family: Bacterial small subunit ribosomal RNA
Source: RNAcentral